UCCCGGUAGAGGAUGUGUUUCUGAAGUCUCAUCUUCGCAGCAUCUGCCCAAGUGAAGAGAAAGGGGUACCAGGUAGCUGAGCACAUCCUCCCUCCAUAGCAUCCUCAGAGGAUUUCAAUUGACACUGCUUCUCCAGAAAACCUUGAAAGGGUUUAAGAAUGUGUCCCCAGCGGAUCCCUGCAAGGUCAAUGUAGAACUGGCCCUGGAUGGAGUCACUCGGGGAAGGGCAGUGUUUCUCCAUCUCGUCCCAGGUCACUGCUGAUGUGAAGGAGAGGAACUUGGGAGCAUCCACGUGAACAAUCUCUCUUUGGCCUUAAAGGGCUGCGUUGCCCUGAAAGAGCCACAGCUCAGGGAGGCUGCUCUUGAGAUCACAAGUUCUAACCGAACAUAGAAACCCCGUUCUGUAGCUGUCGCAUGAUGUUUAGUGGCUACCUGGAUGGCUUAGAAGACACUGUAAUCGAACUCCAAGGGCUCUCAAGUCUAUGAAUGUAAAGACACACCACGCAGAUGAUGAUACAUACAGAGAUGAGAAAGAUUUAAUACCCUCAGCAGGGAUAAAGACAGUUCUGGAAACUCCUUGUGUGUGAUGGCUGCGGUUACCCUGAACAAAUCUCACCCCCCAAGAAGAGGUGACGUCAGAGGUGGUGCCCAGCUCGCAGCUCCAAGGCUCCCUCCUGAUAGAGCCUGCGUCUUCAGAGAUGCAUCAGUGACGCUGCUGAUGCACGAGAGUGCAUGGCUGUUUCCAUGUACUGCUUCGCCGAGUUCUGCAAGGAUCUGCCUCCCCACUUGCAGAGCACAGAGGUGUCCAGGUGGCACUAACUGCCCCCACCCCUCCUCCAGGCUUUUUUCUGCUGUUACAGGACGCCCAGGCCCUGUGCUUGUUGGCAUUUGUUCUGUCAGGCUUCAAGCUUUUUCCCUUGGAAGCCUUUUAAGAGCCAAACCCUCACCAUUUGCUGAAUAAAACUUUCCCAGGGUUAAAACACUCUUUGUGCUAGGGAAUAAAGACAAAAUAAAGGGUUCAGGUCCUCUGUGGGGCCACCCGGUUACACUCAACUGCUGCUGCAUGCACACAGCUCAGAGUGGCCCUUCUCACAGUGUCCUCCCAUGUUGUCUUCCCCCAUAGCCUAAUGAGGAAUGGCUACAGAUUCACCCGCAGAGCACAUAAAUCUUUGUUGUACCUUUGGAAGUGCACAUGAGCGGGUCAUCAGGUAGACCUGUGCCGAUAGGUGUGCUGUGCAGGUCACCUCGGGAUUAGACAGGUUAGAGAUUGCUUCACAGACAGAAACCGCCAAACAUUGGGGGCAAAAUUACUCUUCUGUGGUCACAAACUGAAAACCUCUGAAUUUGUACAUUUUUAGAUGGGUGACUGGCAUACUUGUCUCCUUGGAGGAAGGCAUUAUGUGGCCUAUUUCUCCAAAUAGCCAGAGGAGGAGACUUCAAGUAGUAGAAAUGCAGAGAUGAUUGGACUGCUAAACUGCCUGUAACCAGGCCCAGGCCCAGGUUUUCAGCUUUCAUGGACUGUCACCCAAGUUUGGGUGGGUCUUCUGGUGGGAAACAUGCCUUUUUUUUCCCCUUAAAGUCAUUGCUGUACCUUGUAUGUAACACCACGUCAAUAUUCCUGGCAGUGACCCCAA
Molecule: long non-coding RNA, 1634 nt
Organism: Mus caroli (Ryukyu mouse)
Lineage: Eukaryota; Metazoa; Chordata; Mammalia; Rodentia; Muridae
Source: RefSeq, a predicted model, not a curated record